AGUGAACGCUGGCGGUAGGCCUAACACAUGCAAGUCGAACGGCAGCACAGUAAGAGCUUGCUCUUACGGGUGGCGAGUGGCGGACGGGUGAGGAAUACAUCGGAAUCUACUUUUUCGUGGGGGAUAACGUAGGGAAACUUACGCUAAUACCGCAUACGCCCUACGGGUGAAAGCAGGGGAUCUUCGGACCUUGCGCGAUUGAAUGAGCCGAUGUCGGAGUAGCUAGUUGGCGGGGUAAAGGCCCACCAAGGCGACGAUCCGUAGCUGGUCUGAGAGGAUGAUCAGCCACACUGGAACUGAAACACGGUCCAGACUCCUACGGGAGGCAGCAGUGUGGAAUAUUGGACAAUGGGCGCAAGCCUGAUCCAGCCAUACCGCGUGGGUGAAGAAGGCCUUCGGGUUGUAAAGCCCUUUUGUUGGGAAAGAAAAGCAGCAGGUUAAUACCCCGCUGUUCUGACGGUACCCAAAGAAUAAGCACCGGCUAACUUCGUG
Molecule: ribosomal RNA, 492 nt
Filed under: uncultured bacterium
Lineage: Bacteria
Description: partial 16S ribosomal RNA
Rfam family: Bacterial small subunit ribosomal RNA
Source: RNAcentral